RNAcentral lists this ribosomal RNA (392 nucleotides) under uncultured Gammaproteobacteria bacterium. RNAcentral's name for it is "bacterial SSU rRNA". It matches the Rfam family "Bacterial small subunit ribosomal RNA", at positions 370 to 779 of the family's 1533-position model. Lineage: Bacteria; Pseudomonadati; Pseudomonadota; Gammaproteobacteria. The record is from RNAcentral.
AAUGGGCGCAAGCCUGAUCCAGCCAUGCCGCGUGAGUGAUGAAGGCCCUAGGGUCGUAAAGCUCUUUCGCCUGUGAAGAUAAUGACGGUAGCAGGUAAAGAAACCCCGGCUAACUCCGUGCCAGCAGCCGCGGUAAUACGGAGGGGGUUAGCGUUGUUCGGAAUUACUGGGCGUAAAGCGCGCGUAGGCGGACUAUUAAGUCAGAGGUGAAAUCCCGGGGCUCAACCCCGGAACUGCCUUUGAUACUGGUAGUCUUGAGUUCGAGAGAGGUAAGUGGAAUUCCGAGUGUAGAGGUGAAAUUCGUAGAUAUUCGGAGGAACACCAGUGGCGAAGGUGGCUUACUGGCUCGAUACUGACGCUGAGGUGCGAAAGUGUGGGGAGCAAACAGGAUU